GACGUAGGGCGCGAGCGUUGUCCGGAUUUAUUGGGCGUAAAGAGCUCGUAGGCGGCUUGUCGCGUCGACUGUGAAAACCCGCGGCUCAACUGUGGGGCUUGCAGUCGAUACGGGCAGACUUGAGUUCGGUAGGGGAGACUGGAAUUCCUGGUGUAGCGGUGAAAUGCGCAGAUAUCAGGAGGAACACCGGUGGCGAAGGCGGGUCUCUGGGCCGAUACUGACGCUGAGGAGCGAAAGCGUGGGGAGCGAACAGG
RNAcentral lists this ribosomal RNA (254 nucleotides) under uncultured bacterium. Its description in RNAcentral is "partial 16S ribosomal RNA". It matches the Rfam family "Bacterial small subunit ribosomal RNA", at positions 524 to 776 of the family's 1533-position model. The record is from RNAcentral.